ACAGGAGUUGGCCGCCUGACAUCAGCAGUAGCCGGUGUGGUUGCUGGGCAGCAGGGGGGUCUCCAUGGGAACGGCUGGGCCAUGAGCACUUCCUGUCGCAGUUGCCCCUGUCCCGCCCUCGCUCGGGGACAGUACCAGGCGGUGACCCCCUCCCCGGAGGGACGUGACUGAGCAGCAGUGCUGGGACAGGGGCUCCCCUGGCACCACCCACCCUGCCUUGGCCUCCUGCCAGUGCAAGGCUUUGCAGAGCCUUUAACAGGCUGAUGUGACAGUGGAUCUCCUACUACCAAGAGUAACUUCGUCAUGGAACCCUUUUUUAUAGCGUAAAUGGAUAACAGCAGACUCUGGAAAUCACAUUUCCUGAUGCUUUGUGUUUGAAUUCUGAUUCCAUCACUAACUAGUU
This is a non-coding RNA of Equus caballus (horse), 403 nucleotides long. The record is from RefSeq and is a predicted model, not a curated record. NCBI's taxonomy places the organism in Eukaryota, Metazoa, Chordata, Mammalia, Perissodactyla, Equidae.